This is an unclassified non-coding RNA of Anser brachyrhynchus (Pink-footed goose), 170 nucleotides long. The record is from Ensembl. Lineage: Eukaryota; Metazoa; Chordata; Aves; Anseriformes; Anatidae.
CUGAAAGCACUGAAAACUUAAGUCUUCUCUUUUUCAAACAGGCAGAACAGAGAAAGCAGAGAGCAAAUUGUCCCAGGCUGUGCAGCCAGCAUGCUUGGCUGUGAUCCACAGGAAAACCUGGAAGGUGAAAGAGGAAUCCAGUCUGAACAGCUACUAAACGCCUUGCUUCC